UUUUUUUUUUUUUUAAGAAAAUAUGUACUCACGGUGAUAAACCAAAAUAUAAUGUACCAUAGAGGAGAACAAAACCUCAAUUCUACCUUUCCCACAGCCACCCUGUUCUUAUCCAUCCUGAGUUGUUCAGUUUCCUCCUGUGACCCAAAGAGGCAGCCCGCACAAGCAUGUAAGUGGUUCAACUCUAAAGUGUUCAUAAGUGGAACAUUUAAUAAAGUGAGAGGAAAGGGGUUUAUAACCUUUUUUCUAUGGGUCGCCAUUGACUUUCAUAGACUGGGAGAUAUUCAAGAUGUGUGGGCCUGGUGGUACUCCUUUCGCUGCCAUUUUUGUUGCAUUUUUAGUUCUGAGGAAGCUAUAACAUAGUGAACAGGACUGAUCCCAGAAGUUUGGCCAGCACUAAACCCACAGCGUUAAAGAUCUGAGCUGAGGAUCCUCCUUGGCUUCUGUUUCCCAGCUUUUUACACAAUGUCAUUUUCUUGAUGAUGGACUAAACUUCGAAGUCAACCUUCUGCCUUUGAGAAAGCUGGAGAACUGUAAAUGGUCGCUUGAAUCUACAGCUUAAUCCUCUUUGGUCAUCUCUGCAGCAG
This 587-nucleotide long non-coding RNA is filed under the name Rattus norvegicus (Norway rat). RNAcentral describes it as "long non-coding RNA NONRATT002024". The record is from RNAcentral. Lineage: Eukaryota; Metazoa; Chordata; Mammalia; Rodentia; Muridae.